Molecule: ribosomal RNA, 434 nt
Filed under: uncultured Ruminococcus sp.
Lineage: Bacteria; Bacillati; Bacillota; Clostridia; Eubacteriales; Oscillospiraceae
Description: partial 16S ribosomal RNA
Rfam family: Bacterial small subunit ribosomal RNA
Source: RNAcentral
ACGGGAGGCAGCAGUGGGGAAUAUUGCACAAUGGGCGCAAGCCUGAUGCAGCGAUGCCGCGUGAGGGAAGAAGGUUUUCGGAUUGUAAACCUCUGUCAUCGGGGACGAUAAUGACUGUACCCGAGAAGGAAGCUCCGGCUAACUACGUGCCAGCAGCCGCGGUAAUACGUAGGGAUCGAGCGUUAUCCGGAAUUACUGGGUGUAAAGGGAGUGUAGGCGGGACUGUAAGUCAGAUGUGAAAUAUGCCGGCACAACUGGAAGACUGCAUUUGAAGCUGCGGUUCUUGAGUGAAGUAGAGGUAAGCGGAAUUCCUAGUGUAGCGGUGAAUUGCGUAGAUAUUAGGAGGAACAUCAGUGGCGAAGGCGGCUGACUGGGCUUUAACUGUCGCUGAGGCUCGAAAGCGUGUGGAGCAAACAGGAUUAGAGACCCUGGUA